Molecule: ribosomal RNA, 492 nt
Filed under: uncultured bacterium
Lineage: Bacteria
Description: partial 16S ribosomal RNA
Rfam family: Bacterial small subunit ribosomal RNA
Source: RNAcentral
AGUGAACGCUGGCGGUAGGCCUAACACAUGCAAGUCGAACGGCAGCACAGUAAGAGCUUGCUCUUACGGGAGGCGAGUGGCGGACGGGUGAGGAAUACAUCGGAAUCUACUUUUUCGUGGGGGAUAACGUAGGGAAACUUACGCUAAUACCGCAUACGACCUACGGGUGAAAGCAGGGGAUCUUCGGACCUUGCGCGAUUGGAUGAGCCGAUGUCGGGUUAGCUAGUUGGCGGGGUAAAGGCCUACCAAGGCGAAGAUCCGUAGCUGGUCUGAGAGGAUGAUCAGCCACACGGGAACUGAGACACGGCCCACACACCUACGGGAGGCAGCAGUGGGGAAUAUUGCACAAUGGGCGCAAGCCUGAUCCAGCCAUACCGCGUGGGUGAAGAAGGCCUUCGGGUUGUAAAGCCCUUUUGUUGUGAAAGAAAAGCAGCAGGUUAAUACCCCGCUGUUCUGACGGUACCCGAAGAAGAAGCACCGGCUAACUUCGUG